GACGCUGAAGCACGAANGCGUGGGGAUCAAACAGGAUUAGAUACCCUGGUAGUCCACGCAGUAAACGAUGAUAACUAGCUGUUUGCGAUACACAGUAAGCGGCACAGCGAAAGCGUUAAGUUAUCCACCUGGGGAGUACGCCGGCAACGNUGAAACUCAAAGGAAUUGACGGGGGCCCGCACAAGCGGAGGAACAUGUGGUUUAAUUCGAUGAUACGCGAGGAACCUUACCUGGGCUUAAAUUGCAGUGGAAUAACGUGGAAACAUGUUAGCCUUCGGGCCGCUGUGAAGGUGCUGCAUGGUUGUCGUCAGCUCGUGCCGUGAGGUGUCGGCUUAAGUGCCAUAACGAGCGCAACCCUCAUCGAUAGUUACUAACAGGUUAAGCUGAGGACUCUAUCGAGACUGCCGACGUAAGUCGUGAGGAAGGUGGGGAUGACGUCAAAUCAGCACGGCCCUUACGUCCAGGGCUACACACGUGUUACAAUGGGGGGUACAAAGGGCAGCUACCUGGCGACAGGAUGCUAAUCUCAAAAACCUCUCUCAGUUCGGAUUGGAGUCUGCAACCCGACUCCAUGAAGCUGGAUUCGCUAGUAAUCGCGCAUCAGCCACGGCGCGGUGAAUACGUUCCCGGGCCUUGUACACACCGCCCGUCAAGCCAUGGGAGCCGGGGGGACCUGAAGUAUGCAACCGUAAGGAGCGUCCUAGGGUAAAACUGGUGACUGGGGCU
Molecule: ribosomal RNA, 726 nt
Filed under: uncultured prokaryote
Description: bacterial SSU rRNA
Rfam family: Bacterial small subunit ribosomal RNA
Source: RNAcentral